CUGCCGUUGUUCCCGCUGGUGCCGGUAAAUCUCAAUCUGCCAUCCUGCUGGGGUGGACCGUCGAAGUGUGUCCACUUUGUUUUCUUCAUGUUUUGCUUCUGAUUCAGUCCCCGAUAGCCUACAAAGCUAAAAAAAAAAAAAAAAAAAAAAAAAAAAAGUAAAUUUAUUCAGAUCAGUCGAAACACAGCAAACCGCGUGUUUCACUGAGUUUGUCUGAAUAAAAACCUGCUGUCUAUGUGUGAAAAUGUCUAAAAUGCAAAUGCUGAGAGCGUCGGUGACGCAGAGACUAACUGCGGCUGCUGAAGAGAUAUUUGUGCUGUUUGAAAGAUCGAUAGCAGAGUACGAGGAGGAACUUUCUCGAUCAAAAGAGGAGAACGAGCGACAACGCAAACUACUGGACGUCUUUGUGAUGCCGGAGGUUCGGCUGCACAGAGCAGACGUCCAGCAGCUGUUGGAGAGUAAAGAAGAGGUUCCCCCUGAGCAGCAGGAGAGGAGCUCCAGUCUGGACCAGGAGGACCAAGAGCCCCCACACAUUAACCCCACACAUUUUAUUAAAGAGGAACAGGAGGAACUCUUUACCAGUCAGGAGGGAGAGCAGCUUCAAGUGCUAGAGGAGGCUGAUAUCAUCAAGUUCACAUUCACUCCUGUCCCUGUGAAGAGUGAAGAUGAUGAAGAGAAACCUCAGUGCUCACAGAUUCAUCAAAAUCAAAACGUGAAGAACAGAGAGGCAGAGCAUUUGAAUACAGAUGCUGGUGGAGAGGACUGUGGAAGAUCAGAAGCAGCCGAGAACUCAGAUCCAGAUAGACAUUUACAACCAGUUAGUCAUUACGAUUCUUUCCAGCUUCAUAAACAUGCGGCUGAACAGAGCGAUAAUGAAAAAAGCAAUGAUUUGAAAUGUAAUACUGGUAAAAAAUCAUUUAGCUGCUCUGAGUGUGGAAAAAAAUUUGUCCGCAAAGACAAUAUGAAGAGCCACAUGAGAUGUCACACUGAAGAGAAAUCAUUUGGUUGCUUGAUUUGUGGGAAAAGAUUCAGGAAGAAUGCCAAUUUGGCCAGACACGUGAAGAUUCAUGCAGCAGAAAAGCCUUAUACUUGCUCAGUUUGUAACAGCGGUUUUAUUCAGCGAGGGACAUUGGGUCAACACAUGAGAAUUCACACUGGUGAGAAACCGUUUAGUUGUUCGAUUUGUGGUAAAAGAUUUACACAGAAAGGAUCUGUGACAGAGCACAUGACCAUCCACACAGGCGAGAAACCGUUCAGUUGCAGUAUUUGUGGCAAAGGAUUGAACAGGCGGUCGCAUAUCAAAAGACACAAAUGUGUUCAUUUCACAGACGCUUAUGUUGUGAAACGUAAAUGAUAGUGUGGUUGAGUUGAUUUGAGUCCUCAAAACUCUCCAAUGAAUUCAGGCAGCAGCAGCACCAUAAAUCUCCUGUGAUGUUCAGAGCACAACAGACAUGUCACUAACCUGGAGCGUCCCAUUAACAACCUGUAAGGCUUUGGUGCUUUGUUCUGCCCUGCAUUUCCACUGUGCCUUAAAAACCAGAACAUUUUCUAUAUACUUAGAGCAGCAGGGCAGGAAUUAUACCACGGCUAGUGCCCUGGAUGCCCCGGAGUGUGGCUGUAAUGCCCCUUCUAAAAUUAACUACCCACAUGGCCAGUUUGGCAUGUUUUGAACAGGCCCUUAAAAGAAAGUUGCAGAUUUCCCCAUUUAAAACUACAUGUGACGCAGCAAACAAACAGACUCAACAUUUCCCAGAGUCUCCAUCAUCACGCUGGACAUCAACAGUAGUGCAAGAUUUCUCCCAGUCCUGCAAAUAUAUGUGUAAUGUUAAUGUAAACAUUAACAGCAAACCCGCUAGCUAACGUUAGCUAAUAGUUAACAUUAUGUGAUAAGCAGCGCAGGCAGCUGAACACUGUUCAGUGUAAGUAUUGAUACAUGUUGUGUUUUAAACUUUACCAGUCACACAUUCUCCUGCCAGGCUCUUGGAAGUGGUCAAAAUUAUCAAUGUGUUCAAUGUCUAACAUGUAAAAAAGUGUUUUAAGUCAUUUUUGUGACUCCUAUUAUCUCAGACUCAACGGUUGCACGGGUGUUGGAACUUGUUCAGAUGAAUUUUGAUCACCCUUAGCCCAUUUAUAGACGUUAUUUUAGUCAUUAAAAUAUAACAAUAAGAAUAAAAUGAAUUGUUCACAUUUUUUAAAAAAAUCAAUCAGACAGCAUUUUGUGGAAAAGUCAAACUUUCAGUGUACAGUUUUAAUAAACUCGAUACUGUUUUUCAAUACACUUUUUCAAUACUGUAUAAACUUAGUAGUUACAUUCACAACUUUCUAAACUGUGAGGAUUUGUUGCUUUUCCCUGUUUUUAUAUCACUGUAAAUUUAAAUUCUCUCCUCUUUCAUCUGUUGGUCAAAUAAAACAAGACAUUUGAAGAUGUCAACUUGAGCUCUGGGAACUUUUUUCUUUACUUUCUGACAUUGACUUGACAAGGAAUUU
Molecule: RNA transcript, 2487 nt
Organism: Thunnus maccoyii (southern bluefin tuna)
Lineage: Eukaryota; Metazoa; Chordata; Actinopteri; Scombriformes; Scombridae
Gene name: zinc finger protein OZF-like
Exons: 3
Source: RefSeq, a predicted model, not a curated record